GAUGAACGCUGGCGGCAUGCCUAAUACAUGCAAGUCGCGCGAGAAACUACUUUCGGGUAGUGGAAAGCGGCGGACGGGUGAGUAAUGUCUGGGAAACUGCCUGAUGGAGGGGGAUAACUACUGGAAACGGUAGCUAAUACCGCAUAACGUCGCAAGACCAAAGAGGGGGACCUUCGGGCCUCUAGCCAUCGGAUGUGCCCAGAUGGGAUUAGCUUGUUGGUGGGGUAACGGCUCACCAAGGCGACGAUCCCUAGCUGGUCUGAGAGGAUGACCAGCCACACUGGAACUGAGACACGGUCCGGACUCCUACGGGAGGCAGCAGUAGGGAAUUUUCCACAAUGGGCGAAAGCCUGAUGGAGCAAUGCCGCGUGAUGGAAGACGGUUUUCGGAUUGUAAACAUCUGUUGUAAGGGAAGAAUGUUCAAAAUAGGAAAUGAUUUUGAAAGAGACGGUACCUUGCCAGAAAGCACCGGCUAACUACGUGCCAGCCGCCGCCGUAA
Molecule: ribosomal RNA, 499 nt
Filed under: uncultured bacterium
Lineage: Bacteria
Description: partial 16S ribosomal RNA
Rfam family: Bacterial small subunit ribosomal RNA
Source: RNAcentral